AAUCAGUUUGUAAUAGUAAGUGAAACCAAUGAGUUCAAAGAAAAAUUGUUGAUGGAAGCUUCCUUAAGUAGUAUCCAUUAAAGGGUUGUUCUCAACAUGCAAAUCAACCUUUUGAUGUACUACUUUAAGAAUCUCCAGUUAAAGUCAACACAUAAGUAGUGAUAAUGCAAGAGUAUUGUAUCGGAAUUAAUUAGAAAUUAUAUAUUUAAGUAGUGGAUACAAAGGGCGAUUUGAUAUAAAAGUGUCGCAUUGUAUGACCUACUUAACUAGCUGAUUUUGUAUCCCAACAUAAUAGGUUAAAAAUUAAUUCGAAUUUUGUGAGCUGGGAUAAAGUACCAAAGAAUUUUGAAAACUGCACAUUCUUUUAAGACAAAAUUUUACUUUCCCUUGUUUUUUUUUCCAAAUUGAGAAUUUGUUGCCAUUGAAAUCGCAAUCUGCAUUGUUAUUUAUAAGAACUCAUUAGUAAGCCCGUGCGGAUGCUCUUGACAUGAUCGAUUUCUUGACAAGCAUCGCUUUCUGUGUUUACAUGCAUAAAUCAAAGUUGCGAUAAGGUUAAUACAAUUGCUUGCUUAACACCUUGUUGCCAGUGAGAUUUUUGUCUGAAAGAAGCUGGCAGAUAGACAGACAGACAGCCGAAACGAUUUAGCCAACAUACGUAACAAUGUUGCCAAAACAGCGUGACAGCCCCAAAAUCAGCAGCACAGUAGGAACAACAAUGGGGCAUUGGGGCAGUGUCAAGCAAGCAGAAACCCCCCCACUACCCACCACCACCAACUUACCCCCACCAAAGUGGUGUUAAGGCCACAUCACUGCCAUUUUUGCCAUUCUUUAGCCAUUCCGCAGCACGUGUGCCGAAGCUGCGACAAUGAGAAGUGUGUGUGCGACUGGGUGUGUGACUGGGUGGGUUAUGUGAAUGAUUUUUCACUUUUGCCGAAAUACAUUUUUAUAAAUUCUGACAGGGCAUUUGUUGAGCCCGCUGCCUUCGAUACCGCUGGGAAAGUUGAUAAAAAUGUUCUGCUCCUCGGGAAAAGUUCUUCCUGAAAGGAAUAUACAAGGUUAUUCGGUGCAAAAUGUCCAUCGUUGUUUGGGGGGCAUGACUUAUCGAUGCAGCUGGAAUAUUGAUGUUGGAAUAAUAAAGAUACACAGUUCGGUGUAUAUAGGUUUUUUGGUCAUGAAAAGCUACCCAAGACUACGGGACCGACUACGGGACCGAGUAUGCCAUAUUAACCGCUUUAUACCAUUAUAAAAACUAAGAUAUAAGCUUCCAUUCCUUGCAAUGAACUAACUCCUCUCAUAUGUUGAUAACAAAAUGAGCCAUCAACGACUGUCUAAGCAGUUCCACUCCCUCUCCCCGGGGACCACAAGCAGUUGGGAUAAUAAACCAAAUAAAUAUUAUAACUUCAUCAGGGCUCAACAGUCCUCAGCUGCCACAGCAUCCUCAAAGUGUUGAGGCGCAAAGAUUGAUGAUAAGAGAGAUGUUUGCGAAGAUGACCCUCGACCACCCACUGACCCCCCGCUAUGAUGGAAAAAACGUAUUUCUUUUCGGGUACGUAACUCAAAUAUUUCGCCCUAAAUUCCACGACUAUCAGCUGCCCAUCGCCGGCCUAUCAUCAACUCAUAAUGUUGACAUUUUUCCCACAGUUCAAUGGGCAUCGAAAUACAAACGUGUCUGUAUUCCUUCUGCUGGGCGUUAUCUGUAGGUGGUUGAGGCUUCUUCUGUCUUUUGCCUCCUGACUUCGGAUGUAUCUGAGACUUGGAGUGGGGGAGAUGAGAAAUGGGACAACACGGGCCGUUCUUUUGUUUGAUUGACUCGACUUGGCCUUUGUUUCAAUGACUCGAAACAUCUUGAUGAUGGCUUGUCCAAAUACGGACAACGAUGGAGCAGCGUUUGUGGGUGUGGGGACUUGAAUGGAAGACGUGCUAUUUGAUUUCAUCUUAUUUUUGUAAUUUCUGGGUUCAGUGCGCAGCAAGUAGUUAAAUAUAUAUUUUCAUUUCGUCAUUUUUCUCAGCUUACGUACAUACCAUAUGUAUGUGUAUAAAUAUCUUUCUAUGACAUAAUGCUUCAUUAGGCAGCGACACCCGCACAUCUGGAAAUGAAAGAAAAUCGUGGAAAAUUUCUGGGCUUCUGUGUUGAUUUGUUUGCCCGGCAAUUAUUAUGCUUAUCGCUGACACAAAUCGCCAUUUAAUUAGUUCGAUGCCAUUGUGUCGUGUUUGUAGACUUCCCAUUGAUUUGUUGACACUGCCUAAGUUUGUCAGCAGCGAAGGCCACUUGUCCAUAAUGCUCGAGUAGGCUAAUAGGGAUCACGGGUCUCUGUGGCUGACAGCUGGCAAAUAUUUUCCCACUUAAAUAUCAUAAUUGGCUCACUUUAUUGCCAUGACAACUCACGCGAAAAUUAAAGUGAUUUAAUCAGUUUGGUGGAAAUGGGUACGGUAAUGCAAUU
Non-coding RNA from Drosophila melanogaster (fruit fly), 2441 nucleotides. The record is from Ensembl. NCBI's taxonomy places the organism in Eukaryota, Metazoa, Arthropoda, Insecta, Diptera, Drosophilidae.